AACGAACGCUGGCGGCAGGCCUAACACAUGCAAGUCGAACGCCCUGGCAACAGGGAGUGGCAGACGGGUGAGUAACGCGUGGGAAUCUACCUUGUGGUACGGAACAACCAAGGGAAACUUUGGCUAAUACCGUAUGAGCCCUUCGGGGGAAAGAUUUAUCGCCAUAAGAUGAGCCCGCGUAGGAUUAGCUAGUUGGUGAGGUAAUGGCUCACCAAGGCGACGAUCCUUAGCUGGUCUGAGAGGAUGACCAGCCACACUGGGACUGAGACACGGCCCAGACUCCUACGGGAGGCAGCAGUGGGGAAUAUUGGACAAUGGGCGCAAGCCUGAUCCAGCCAUGCCGCGUGUGUGAUGAAGGCCUUAGGGUUGUAAAGCACUUUCGCCGAUGAAGAUAAUGACUGUAGUCGGAGAAGAAGCCCCGGCUAACUUCGUG
RNAcentral lists this ribosomal RNA (433 nucleotides) under uncultured bacterium. RNAcentral's name for it is "bacterial SSU rRNA". It matches the Rfam family "Bacterial small subunit ribosomal RNA", at positions 29 to 507 of the family's 1533-position model. The record is from RNAcentral. RNAcentral also lists the same sequence under 1 other name.